GCCAGGCACAGUGGCGUGUGCCUGUAAUCCCAGCUACUCAGGAGGCUGAGGUGGGAGAAUCGCUUGACCCUGGGAGGCUGAGGUUGCAGUGAGCUGAAAUUGCGCCACUGCACCCCAGCCUGGGCGACAAAGCGAGGCUCCAUCUAAA
Molecule: non-coding RNA, 148 nt
Filed under: Nomascus leucogenys (northern white-cheeked gibbon)
Lineage: Eukaryota; Metazoa; Chordata; Mammalia; Primates; Hylobatidae
Source: Rfam by way of RNAcentral